Molecule: ribosomal RNA, 534 nt
Filed under: Triticum aestivum (bread wheat)
Lineage: Eukaryota; Viridiplantae; Streptophyta; Magnoliopsida; Poales; Poaceae
Description: partial small subunit ribosomal RNA
Source: RNAcentral
AUGAAGAACCAGAGCUCGCCACGACCACCAUCUCAGAACCACCGUCACGUCCUAGUCGCCGAAGAGAGGACCACUAUCCCCUCUCGCCCAGGCCGUGGGCGUCGAUCCGCCGGACAGACAGGACCACACGAGGGAGAGCACGGCGGCCAUAGGAGGGAACAGGGUCAUCCAUGGGAAGAGUCACCACCGGAAGGAGAAGACGCCGCCACCGGGAGCACCCGAAGCACGCAGGAGCCUACCCGCCUCCCCACAGACCCAAAGCGACGCCUUCAAGAAGGUAACGACGCCGCUAUGGCGCCGCCGCCGCCCAAACCAAAGUUGUGGGCUUUCACCCGGGUGCAGGGGAAGGGGGAGGAGGGGGAGGUGAACCUCAACGCUGCCUUCAAGAAGGAGAGCAGCGCCCAAGGCGCCGCCGACGAGGUGGCCGCCGCCGCCGCCGGAGGCCAAGGGGCUACCCGCCUCUCCUAUAAUUCCGAUCGUCAGUUUGUUGUCUCGUCGAUUUCAGUUCCCAGACCCCCGAUCGCGAGACGCUAG